This 326-nucleotide long non-coding RNA is filed under the name Elaeis guineensis (African oil palm). RNAcentral's name for it is "long non-coding RNA (EGUI_LNC048142)". Lineage: Eukaryota; Viridiplantae; Streptophyta; Magnoliopsida; Arecales; Arecaceae. The record is from RNAcentral.
GUUGAGUUGACUUGAGAAUUAUGUUGAUUUGAACUGUAGCAGGAUAUAGUAGAUGAACAGAGUUUAUUAGUAACUUAUGAACUAUGGCAUAAGGUGCUAACAAACCUUUACUCAAUUGUUAUACUCUUGCUCGAUCUAAGGAUUGGGUGUGAUAUUUAUUGAUAUCAGAGCAAAGAUAGUAGAUUACAUGGACAUAUGCAUAGCAUAAUAAAUUAUAAAUUAUGUUGCAUAGCAAAUUAACCUAAAAAGGAUAUAAGUGGUCUUCAAGUCGACUUGGAUGGUUAAUGAGUUGACUCAUUCUCAGUUAGCAGAAACAUGACUUUUUG